GUGAAUCAUCGAAUUUUUGAACGCAUAUUGCACUCUCUGGUAUUCCGGAGAGUAUGCCUGUUUGAGGGUAAUUAAAAAGGAUCUUUCACCAAUUUUUUUUGGUUAUAGGAAAUGAGGUCUCCGCGUUUAUAGCGGUAGCUUGACAUAAAUGGUAGUCUCAUUUUAGUCGAGUCGCGUACUAAUUUUAUUUCGCGAAAUCUGUAUUAUGUGACUAUCAAG
This 219-nucleotide unclassified non-coding RNA is filed under the name Ambisporaceae sp. RNAcentral's name for it is "partial contains 5.8S ribosomal RNA and internal transcribed spacer 2". The stretch from base 1 to 71 matches the Rfam family "5.8S ribosomal RNA", at positions 84 to 154 of the family's 154-position model. Lineage: Eukaryota; Fungi; Glomeromycota; Glomeromycetes; Archaeosporales; Ambisporaceae. The record is from RNAcentral.